UUUUAGGUUCCUUACCAAUCCUUGGGUCUUCCGCUGCAAAAGGUAUUAAUGCUUCCAGAUCAGGUGUUUUGGUAGUUCACGAAUCACAACAGACUUUUGUUCACUUCACUGGUUACUUUAUCUGGUUGAUAAAGCAAUGGCUCACAAUAGGAGGAUGAGACAAAAACCAUUCACAG
Amphimedon queenslandica is the source of this 176-nucleotide long non-coding RNA. RefSeq lists it as uncharacterized. The record is from RefSeq and is a predicted model, not a curated record. NCBI's taxonomy places the organism in Eukaryota, Metazoa, Porifera, Demospongiae, Haplosclerida, Niphatidae. The transcript has 3 exons.